AAUUCGCCCUUAGAGUUUGAUCCUGGCUCAGGAUGAACGCUGGCGGCGUGCUUAACACAUGCAAAGUCGAACGGACUUUACUUAUUAGAUCUUUUCGGAGUGACGAUUUGUAAAGUUAGUGGCGGACGGGUGAGUAACGCGUGGGUAACCUGCCCAUUACUGGGGGACAACAGUUAGAAAUGACUGCUAAUACCGCAUAAGCGCACAGGACCGCAUGGUCUAGUGUGAAAAACUGAGGUGGUAAUGGAUGGACCCGCGUCUGAUUAGCUAGUUGGUAAGGUAACGGCUUACCAAGGCGACGAUCAGUAGCCGGACUGAGAGGUUGAACGGCCACAUUGGGACUGAGACACGGCCCAGACUCCUACGGGAGGCAGCAGUGGGGGAUAUUGCACAAUGGGCGCAAGCCUGAUGCAGCAAUGCCGCGUGAGGGAAGAAGGUCUUCGGAUUGUAAACCUCUGUCCUCAGUGACGAAACAAAUGACGGUAGCUUAGGAGGAAGCCACGGCUAACUACGUGCCAGCAGCCGCGGUAAUACGUAGGUGGCGAGCGUUAUCCGGAAUUACUGGGUGUAAAGGGAGCGCAGGCGGGAAGGCAAGUCAGCGGUGAAAUACAUGGGCUUAACCCAUGAACUGCCGUUGAAACUGUUUUUCUUGAGUGAAGUAGAGGCAGGCGGAAUUCCGAGUGUAGCGGUGAAAUGCGUAGAUAUUCGGAGGAACACCAGUGGCGAAGGCGGCCUGCUGGGCUUUUACUGACGCUGAGGCUCGAAAGUGUGGGGAGCAAACAGGAUUAGAUACCCUGGUAGUCCACACUGUAAACGAUGAAUGCUAGGUGUGGGGGGUCUGACCCCCUCUGUGCCGCAGUUAACACAAUAAGCAUUCCACCUGGGGAGUACGGCCGCAAGGUUGAAACUCAAAGGAAUUGACGGGGGCCCGCACAAGCAGUGGAGUAUGUGGUUUAAUUCGAAGCAACGCGAAGAACCUUACCAGGUCUUGACAUCCAACUAACGAAGUAGAGAUACAUCAGGUGCCCUUCGGGGAAAGUUGAGACAGGUGGUGCAUGGUUGUCGUCAGCUCGUGUCGUGGGAUGUUGGGUUAAGUCCCGCAACGAGCGCAACCCUUAUCAUUAGUUGCUACGCAAGAGCACUCUAAUGGGACCGCUAUCGACAAGAUGGAGGAAGGUGGGGACGACGUCAAAUCAUCAUGCCCCUUAUGACCUGGGCUACACACGUACUACAAUGGCCGUUAACAGAGGGAAGCAAAACUGCGAAGUAGAGCAAACCCCUAAAAACGGUCUCAGUUCAGAUUGCAGGCUGCAACUCGCCUGCAUGAAGUCGGAAUUGCUAGUAAUCGCGGAUCAGCAUGCCGCGGUGAAUACGAUCCCGGGCCUUGCACACACCGCCCGUCA
Molecule: ribosomal RNA, 1403 nt
Filed under: uncultured bacterium
Lineage: Bacteria
Description: bacterial SSU rRNA
Rfam family: Bacterial small subunit ribosomal RNA
Source: RNAcentral